GGUCCCUAUCUGCCGUGGACGUUUGAGAUUUGAGAGGGGCUGCUCCUAGUACGAGAGGACCGGAGUGGACGAACCUCUGGUGUUCCGGUUGUCACGCCAGUGGCAUUGCCGGGUAGCUAUGUUCGGAUAGAUAACCGCUGAAAGCAUCUAAGCGGGAAACUAGCCUCAAGAUGAGAUCUCACUGGGACCUUGAGUCCCCUGAAGGGCCGUCGAAGACUACGACGUUGAUAGGUCGGGUGUGUAAG
RNAcentral lists this ribosomal RNA (245 nucleotides) under Pseudomonas sp. ATCC 13867. Its description in RNAcentral is "partial 23S ribosomal RNA". It matches the Rfam family "Bacterial large subunit ribosomal RNA", at positions 2633 to 2873 of the family's 2925-position model. Lineage: Bacteria; Pseudomonadati; Pseudomonadota; Gammaproteobacteria; Pseudomonadales; Pseudomonadaceae. The record is from RNAcentral.